This is a long non-coding RNA of Papaver somniferum (opium poppy), 3939 nucleotides long. RefSeq lists it as uncharacterized. The transcript has 2 exons. The record is from RefSeq and is a predicted model, not a curated record. Lineage: Eukaryota; Viridiplantae; Streptophyta; Magnoliopsida; Ranunculales; Papaveraceae.
UUCUUCUUCUUCUUCUUCUUCUUUUUCGUUCUUCUUUCUUCUUGUCUUUCCUUCUUCUCUGUUUCUUUUCUGCCGAUAAUUGUAAGUCGUGCAUGAGGAUUUAUCGAGUAAGAUCAAUUAGUGAAGAGGUACAAUUGAGGAUAGAGAUGGUGUUGUUGUCUGUUGCUGAUUUAAAACCAAAGGAGACAGUAGAUCAGUGAGUUAGGGCUUUCUGUUGAUGGGUUCAGGUUUGAUAUGAGAUAACAAUUGAAGAUGGGUUUCGAGAGCUUCAGUAGAAGAAGGAAGUUGUUGGGUCAAUUUGAAGAUUAAGUUUCGUAGAAGAAGAGUAAUUUUUAAUUAGGUCUGCAUGUUGUAUUGGAGUUCGGUUUGAGUAAGGAUUAAGAAGAAUUAGACGGAAUUAACAGAUGGGUUUGUUCUUAAUUGAUUGAAGUUGUAGAGUUGUUUGAGGAUUGGAUCAGUGAAUUAGGGUUUUUGAACAGAACAUGUAUUUAGAGUUCAUGGGUUUGAAAGUUAGCUGAAGAAGAUGAAAUCGACGUUUCAGGGUUUUGAUGAAAUCAAGGUUGAAGAUUAAGAGGGUGAUGGUGUUAUUAUUAUUGUUGGAUCAAACUCAGGAAGAAUGGAAAGGUAACUUAAUUUAAGGUAUCUUAUAUUUGAUUUUGUUUUGGAAUUCAUGGAAUAAUUGAUUAGAGUAUAUCAAUUGGAUUAAUGGGUAUGAGUAGGUUGUUCCUGUAAUUAGGAUUUGGUAUUGUUUUGAUUUACAGGGUCUCUGUGAAUUUAAUUGGGAAUGGAAUUUAUAAAUAAGGAUGUUGGGAUAAGUGAAGUGUAUUGGAGUUGAGAUGUUAUUAUUGUUGCUGAGGCUGGUGGUGGUGGUAUUGAUUUGAUAUUAGGUUCAUAUAUGGAAUUGCAGUUGAAACAUGGAACUAGUGGUGAUAGUAAAUUGAGAAUGAAUAUACAUAUCUGGAGUUGGUGUUGUUAUUGUUUGUUAGAGUUUAGAUGUUGCUGCUGUGACAGUAAAGUCACAAUUGUUGUGACCCAGAGAGGUUGAACUGGAUGGGCUGUGGUGGUUCUGGUAUUAUGGGUUGUUAGAGGUGGUUUGUUGAACUGAGAAUACAAUAGUGGUUAGGUUUGCAGUAAUGAACUGAACUGAACUUGGUAGUGAUAUUGUAAUGGUGGUGAUGUAGUAUGCAAGGAAGAAACCUGAAAUUAUUUAUGAUGUUAUGAAAUGUGCAGUGGUGUUUUAACUCAUUGUGUUGUGAUGAAUUUCAGUGGUAGCUAGUGAAAGAGUUUACAAACUGUACUGAACCUGUAAUGUACAGGAAAGGGGUUCAACAUGGGAUUAAAAUGGAGUUAGUGGUAUUGAAUUGAAAUAGAUUAAAGCAGUCCAUUAUUUGGCUGCAUUUGAUAGAAUAUGAAUGUGCAGGUGGACUUUAGUAAGUAUAAUGGUUUUACUGUUGAGGGUGAAGUUGUAUUGUGAUAUGAAUUAGUGGUCAUGGUAAUGAGAGAGAAUGAGUUCAGUUGAAGUGGUGGGGUUUUAAGUUGGAGUUAAGAGUGAAGUGUAUUGCUGAUUCAGUUGGGUACGGGUGUGUGUGGAGUUAGAAGAGUGGAAAAUAUGUGGGAGUGGUGAUUGUAGAAUCACAGUUGGUAGUUGUAGAAAGAGAAAAAGCUUGGAACUGCAUUUUGCAGUUAGUCUAUUUAACAACGAUCGAUUCAAAGGAUGACCCAGUGGAUCGUGGAUCUCGAGGUAGGCAUGGCUUGUCAUCAAAAGAGGUGUUUUGGAGUCACUGGAGCAAAAGGAGGGGAAUAUCGCUCAAAUAUCGUAUCUCUACUCAUCAUGUUGAAGUGAACGAAAGGAGGAAGCCACCGGUGAAAAAAAUGACGCGACUACGACGUCAUACAAGAAAGUUAUGGGUGAAAGCAUUGAUGAAGCUUGUCAGUUCCUUGAAACUGACAGGCCAUAUAUGAACUGGGUGGCCCUUAUCGACUGCACCUGAGUGGCUAUAUCCAUUUGUAUUCUCCUACAGAAGACCUAAAAAUCAGAGAAGGAUUUCUCAAAUCAUUUACAUUUAUAUUUAUUCCUCUCCACCUGAAACUGAGAGAAGGCGGCCAUGGAGAUCGACAGAGAGAUUGAGUGAUUGUUGGAAGAAUUACAGAAAAGGAACAAGAGAAGAUGAAUCUAAUGGGACAAGGUCGCUGCCAUGGAUUUGCAGGAUGGGUUUCUCUUGAUUUCAAGGAAGAGGUAUGGAAGAAGAGCCGGAUCUGUCGCUGCCAUGGAUUUGCAGUAAUAAAAGGAGGAGAUCCAUGUGACUCAGGGAAGAAGAAGAUGCAGAAAUUAAGCUCGUGGAAUGAACAGUGGUUGUGUUGGUUAGAAGCUCGAAAUGGAAAAGGAAUUUUGGGGUUUCGGCUGAGAAUCGAAAUUGGGUUUACUGAAGAUCUCAUGGAAGAGAUAUGUGGGAUACAUGUGUUAUUGGUUUCUAGAGUUGCAGUAGAGCUCAAUUAGUCUGCUGCUGAGCUGAGUAUACAAGAAGCAGAGAAGAAACUGAUGUUGUGUUGGAGGAUAAGGAGGACUCAGAGAUGAUGUUGCUGCCAUCAGUUCAUAGUAAUGGAAGGUGCAGGUUAAGGUGUUGAUUGCAGGUGGUGUUGCUGUAAAUUAUGGAUUGAAGUGCGGGUUGUGAUAGUGGUUUGAUGAAGCUGAAAUGGAAUUGUAUGGAUGAAAUGUGAUGAGAUUAGAGAAUGGGUUGUCGAAUCUGGGGUGAAUUUGGGAAGACUUGUUACUGAGAUGGAGAUGAUGAUUUGUGAGAAGUUGUGAUUCAGUUGGUGGAAGAAAGAAGAAUCUGUAGCUGAGAAAUGGCUCUGGUGUUAGUUGCAGUUGCAGUUACAAGCAAUGGCAGAUGGAAGAAGAUGGUGGUUGUUCUCUGUAGAUGUAUGUUAGGACAGGUUCAUUACAGGUGUAGCUGGUUAAGCCAUGGAGUUUGUUAGCUGCUUGAGAAGGUCUGAAUUGCUUGAGUUUGUCAGAAAUUGGAGUUGGGCUUGAAGCAAUUGCAGGUGAUGCUCAAAUCUGAUAAUAGUCUGGUGUCGUGCGAGGUUGUGAAGUUUCAAAUGGAGAAGGAUGUUGCAGGAACGGUUGAGUGCACACAAGGAUUUAGAGCAAUGGCAGUUCGAACGAGAAUGCAGUUGAAAUGGCUCUGGGGUUGGCUGUAGUUUACGUUGCAACUGAGUUGGUGGUGAUGUUAACAAUGGUGCAGGACAAGACUGAACUGUCGAGGUUAUUAUUGGUUCUCUAUGAAGAAUGGCUUGAACUGAUAGACAAGGAAAUGAUCUUGCAGGCAGAUGAAGCUGUGCAGUUCAGUUGGUGUUGCUGCUGCUGUAGCUGGGAGAGCAAGUGGUGACAGAAAUGUAUGGAUUUGAGAAUGGGUCAAGAUGAUUGCAGUUGCAGCUGAAUAUAUGAAGUUGCAGCUGCAGUUAAAGCCGAGAUGGCGCUGGUAUGUGCAAGAAAUUGCAGAAGGAAACAUUGUUGGUGCUAGAGUGGGGUGACCUGAACUGAAUGCAAGCAGUGACUGGAGCAACAGAAUGGUUAUGCCCUGGUACAGAUGAAGCUAGCCAUGUCUUGGUACUCGAAUAGCUUGUCAGUUUCACAAAACUGACAGGAUAUAAAGUAAUGGACCUGUAGGGUUAUGUUUUAAAUGGGCUCUGAUAUGUGGGCUUGUCUUUGUAGCGGAAGCAACAAUUCCUAUGCGAUUGGAGAUGGCUGAGAUUGAGAAACCGAAAAAGGGAGGAUAGUAUAAAAAGAAAAACUUGUAUCUCUCUAUAGGGAUCUGAUCUUUACUUCUACUUUUGUUCUAGGUUUUGUGAACAUGAUAGAUUUAUUUCUUCUUUGGAUGAACUCCAUGAACAUAAGCUAGAUUAUUAUUAUUGGUUAUGGAAUAAUUGGAUUUCACGUGA